AAAAGUUAGCUCAUUAGGUAGAGCGGUCGGCGUUUAACCGAUUGGUAGUAGGUUCGAUUCCUACACUUUUACCA
This 74-nucleotide transfer RNA is filed under the name Dulcicalothrix desertica PCC 7102. RNAcentral's name for it is "Calothrix desertica PCC 7102 tRNA-Lys". It matches the Rfam family "tRNA". From Rfam's summary of the family: Transfer RNA (tRNA) molecules are approximately 80 nucleotides in length. Their secondary structure includes four short double-helical elements and three loops (D, anti-codon, and T loops). The record is from RNAcentral. RNAcentral also lists the same sequence under 1 other name. Lineage: Bacteria; Bacillati; Cyanobacteriota; Cyanophyceae; Nostocales; Calotrichaceae.